UGGAGGCAGCAGUGGGGAAUCUUGCGCAAUGGGCGAAAGCCUGACGCAGCGACGCCGCGUGGGGGAAGAAGGCCUUAGGGUUGUAAACCUCUUUCAGGUGGGACGAAGCCACUCGGGUUAAUAGCCCAGAGGGUGACGGUACCGCCAGAAGAAGCCCCGGCUAACUACGUGCCAGCAGCCGCGGUAAUACGUAGGGGGCAAGCGUUGUCCGGAUUUAUUGGGCGUAAAGAGCGUGUAGGCGGCCAGGUAGGUGGGUUGUGAAAACUGGAGGCUCAACCUUCAGACGUCGACCCAAACCCCCUGGCUAGAGUCCGGAAGAGGAGAGUGGAAUUCCUGGUGUAGCGGUGAAAUGCGCAGAUAUCAGGAAGAACACCCGUGGCGAAGGCGGCUCUCUGGGACGGUACUGACGCUGAGACGCGAAAGCGUGGGGAGCGAACAGGAUUAGAUACCCCCGUAGUCCU
This 461-nucleotide ribosomal RNA is filed under the name uncultured bacterium. Its description in RNAcentral is "bacterial SSU rRNA". It matches the Rfam family "Bacterial small subunit ribosomal RNA", at positions 343 to 797 of the family's 1533-position model. The record is from RNAcentral.